This 784-nucleotide ribosomal RNA is filed under the name Bacillus pumilus. RNAcentral's name for it is "bacterial SSU rRNA". It matches the Rfam family "Bacterial small subunit ribosomal RNA", at positions 26 to 795 of the family's 1533-position model. Lineage: Bacteria; Bacillati; Bacillota; Bacilli; Caryophanales; Bacillaceae. The record is from RNAcentral.
GGGAAACACCGUGGCGGCGUGCUAAUACAUGCAGUCGAGCGGACAGAAGGGAGCUUGCUCCCGGAUGUUAGCGGCGGACGGGUGAGUAACACGUGGGUAACCUGCCUGUAAGACUGGGAUAACUCCGGGAAACCGGAGCUAAUACCGGAUAGUUCCUUGAACCGCAUGGUUCAAGGAUGAAAGACGGUUUCGGCUGUCACUUACAGAUGGACCCGCGGCGCAUUAGCUAGUUGGUGAGGUAACGGCUCACCAAGGCGACGAUGCGUAGCCGACCUGAGAGGGUGAUCGGCCACACUGGGACUGAGACACGGCCCAGACUCCUACGGGAGGCAGCAGUAGGGAAUCUUCCGCAAUGGACGAAAGUCUGACGGAGCAACGCCGCGUGAGUGAUGAAGGUUUUCGGAUCGUAAAGCUCUGUUGUUAGGGAAGAACAAGUGCAAGAGUAACUGCUUGCACCUUGACGGUACCUAACCAGAAAGCCACGGCUAACUACGUGCCAGCAGCCGCGGUAAUACGUAGGUGGCAAGCGUUGUCCGGAAUUAUUGGGCGUAAAGGGCUCGCAGGCGGUUUCUUAAGUCUGAUGUGAAAGCCCCCGGCUCAACCGGGGAGGGUCAUUGGAAACUGGGAAACUUGAGUGCAGAAGAGGAGAGUGGAAUUCCACGUGUAGCGGUGAAAUGCGUAGAGAUGUGGAGGAACACCAGUGGCGAAGGCGACUCUCUGGUCUGUAACUGACGCUGAGGAGCGAAAGCGUGGGGAGCGAACAGGAUUAGAUACCCUGGUAGUC